UACGUAGGCAGCGAGCGUUGUUCGGAGUUACUGGGCGUAAAGGGUGUGUAGGCGGUUCUUUAAGUCUGGUGUGAAAUCCCCCGGCUCAACCGGGAGGGUGCGCUGAAUACUGCGGGACUAGAGUACGGGAGAGGAAAGUGGAAUUCCUGGUGUAGCGGUGAAAUGCGUAGAUAUCAGGAGGAACACCGGUGGUGUAGACGGCUUUCUGGACCGUAACUGACGCUGAGACACGAAAGCGUGGGUAGCAAACAGG
This 253-nucleotide ribosomal RNA is filed under the name uncultured bacterium. RNAcentral describes it as "partial 16S ribosomal RNA". It matches the Rfam family "Bacterial small subunit ribosomal RNA", at positions 524 to 776 of the family's 1533-position model. The record is from RNAcentral.